GAGAAGCUCUGAGAGCACGAAGGGCACUGAUAUGGCUUCUCGCCUGUGUGAGUGUGCAGGUGGGAUUUCAGGCUGGCCUUUUGUGAGAAGCUCUGAAGGCAUGAAGGGCAUUGAAAUGGCUUCUCACCUGUGUGGGUGCGUAGGUGAACUUUUAACUUGGUUCUGUAUGAGAAGCUCCGAGGGCAUGAAGGGCACUGAAAUGGCUUCUCGCCAGUAUGGAUGCUGGCAUGUGCUUCCAGACGAAACAGUUUAUUAGCCUCGUAGUCACAUUGGUGAAGGAAUUCUUGCUUUGAGUUGUCACAUGUGGCAGUUGAUGGAGAAAUAGGAGGCCUCGAUGCUGCACAAAUAAAACAAAAGUA
Molecule: long non-coding RNA, 359 nt
Filed under: Dermacentor andersoni
Lineage: Eukaryota; Metazoa; Arthropoda; Arachnida; Ixodida; Ixodidae
Description: uncharacterized LOC126538782
Source: RNAcentral